This 441-nucleotide ribosomal RNA is filed under the name uncultured bacterium. RNAcentral's name for it is "bacterial SSU rRNA". It matches the Rfam family "Bacterial small subunit ribosomal RNA", at positions 338 to 795 of the family's 1533-position model. The record is from RNAcentral.
CCUACGGGUGGCAGCAGUGAGGAAUUUUCCGCAAUGGACGCAAGUCUGACGGAGCAACGCCGCGUGCAGGAGGACGCUUUUCGGAGUGUAAACUGCUUUUCUGUGGGACGAGUUUGGACGGUACCACAGGAAGAAGCCCCGGCUAACUACGUGCCAGCAGCCGCGGUAAUACGUAGGGGGCGAGCGUUGUCCGGAGUUACUGGGCGUAAAGGGCAUGCAGGCGGUCGGACGCGUUUCCAGUGACAGCGGGUGGCUUCACUACCCGAGGAUUGGAAAGACGGUUGGACUUGAGGACUCGAGAGGGACACGGAAUUCCGGGUGGAGUGGUGAAAUGCGUAGAGAUCCGGAGGAACAUCAAAGGCGAAGGCAGUGUCCUGGCGAGUGACUGACGCUGAGGUGCGAAAGCCAGGGGAGCGAACGGGAUUAGAUACCCGUGUAGUC